Molecule: long non-coding RNA, 550 nt
Organism: Drosophila elegans
Lineage: Eukaryota; Metazoa; Arthropoda; Insecta; Diptera; Drosophilidae
Exons: 6
Source: RefSeq, a predicted model, not a curated record
GCCAUUUUUAUAUAUACUUUUCCUUCCACGUGCAUAUACGGAUGUCGUUCACUUUUAUCAAAAACUCAAAGGAAAUGUGACAAAUAGUGGAAGGCGUGACCAGUUGGUUAAAUUGAAUUUAAUAGUGCCAUGUGCACAUGAGACACCUCGGGACAGCAUGUGAGGUCUUUGAGACUCCUCGGGCCAUGAGCCCUCAAGAGCAGUCAUUAUGCAUUACACACACACAAAGAAGUGCGAGCAUGUUAUAGUAUGUGACACUUCUGAUGUUAGAGGCAAGUCCGAUGCCAUGAUGUCUGGUUUCUUAUAGUUGAGAAAACGAAAAAGUUUUUACCGGCCGGAUUGAGGUUAUGUGGAAUUCUGGUUGCAUCGAGCACAUGGACAUUCCUCAGAAAGAAUAUCUAAGGCAAACGGCACUUGAACUAUCAAGAUUGACUAGAGUUGUUAACUUUAACAUUAUUUAAAAGGUUGACGACCAGAGACGUCUAUUCAAACAAUUUGUUGAAUAGCUUGCCUACACUUUGAAAUAAAUAAAAUAAUGCUUAUACUUGUA